GACGAACGCUGGCGGCGUGCUUAACACAUGCAAGUCGAACGGAAAGGCCCGGCUUUUGUUGGGUUCUCGAUUGGCGAACGGGUGAGUAACACGUGAGUAACCUGCCCUUGACUUUGGGAUAACUUCAGGAAACUCGGGCUAAUACCGGAUAGGAUCUCCUGCUGCGUGGUGGUGGUUGGAAAGUUUCGGCGGUGGGGUAUGGACUCGCGGCUUAUCAGCUUGUUGGUGUGGUAGUUGCUUACCAAGGCUUUGACGGGUAGCCGGCAUGAGAGGGUGAACGGGCACCAUGGGACUGAGGUACGCACCAGACGCCUACGGGACGCAGCAGUCGGAAAUAUUGCACAAUGGCCGGGAGCCUGAUGCAGCGAUGCUGCGUGCGGGAUGCCGGCCUUCGGGUUGUAAACAGCUUUCGCCUGUGACGAAGCGUGCGUGACGGUACUGGGUAAAGAAGCACCGGCUAACUACGUG
Molecule: ribosomal RNA, 468 nt
Filed under: uncultured bacterium
Lineage: Bacteria
Description: partial 16S ribosomal RNA
Rfam family: Bacterial small subunit ribosomal RNA
Source: RNAcentral